This 152-nucleotide non-coding RNA is filed under the name Eurypyga helias (sunbittern). RNAcentral's name for it is "Eukaryotic large subunit ribosomal RNA". It matches the Rfam family "Eukaryotic large subunit ribosomal RNA", at positions 2828 to 2984 of the family's 3401-position model. The record is from Rfam by way of RNAcentral. Lineage: Eukaryota; Metazoa; Chordata; Aves; Eurypygiformes; Eurypygidae.
AACCACCUUGUGGCAGUCAGGUAUUAUCAAAGUUCCUUCAAGCCUUUGAUAUCAGCUCUGCCUGUCACCACAAAACAGAAUUCACCAAGUGUUGUUCAGUUCACACAUGGACAGUGAACACGAGCUGGGUUUAGACUGCCUUGAGACAAGUU